UACGUAGGGUGCAGGCGUUAAUCGGAAUUACUGGGCGUAAAGCGUGCGCAGGCGGUUUCUUAAGUCAGAUGUGAAAGCCCCGGGCUUAACCUGGGAACUGCGUUUGAAACUGGGAGACUUGAGUGUGGCAGAGGGGAGUGGAAUUCCGCGUGUAGCAGUGAAAUGCGUAGAUAUGCGGAGGAACACCGAUGGCGAAGGCAAUCCCCUGGGCCUGCACUGACGCUCAUGCACGAAAGCGUGGGGAGCAGACAGG
RNAcentral lists this ribosomal RNA (253 nucleotides) under uncultured bacterium. RNAcentral's name for it is "partial 16S ribosomal RNA". It matches the Rfam family "Bacterial small subunit ribosomal RNA", at positions 524 to 776 of the family's 1533-position model. The record is from RNAcentral.